This 304-nucleotide ribosomal RNA is filed under the name uncultured Desulfobulbus sp. Its description in RNAcentral is "bacterial SSU rRNA". It matches the Rfam family "Bacterial small subunit ribosomal RNA", at positions 1075 to 1382 of the family's 1533-position model. The record is from RNAcentral. Lineage: Bacteria; Pseudomonadati; Thermodesulfobacteriota; Desulfobulbia; Desulfobulbales; Desulfobulbaceae.
UUGGGUUAAGUCCCGCAACGAGCGCAACCCUGCCUUAGUUGCCAGCAGUCGGCUGGGCACUCUAAAGGGACUGCCGGUGUUAAACCGGAGGAAGGUGGGGAUGACGUCAAGUCCUCAUGGCCUUUAUGACCAGGGCUACACACGUACUACAAUGGCCGAUACAAAGGGCAGCGACACUGCGAGGUGAAGCCAAUCCCGUAAAAUCGGUCUCAGUCCGGAUUGGAGUCUGCAACUCGACUCCAUGAAGUUGGAAUCGCUAGUAAUCGUGGAUCAGCAUGCCACGGUGAAUACGUUCCCGGGCCUU